GAUGAAGAACGUAGCGAAAUGCGAUAAGUAAUGUGAAUUGCAGAAUUCAGUGAAUCAUCGAAUCUUUGAACGCACCUUGCGCUCCCUGGUAUUCCGGGGAGCACGCCUGUUCGAGUGUCGCGAAAUUCUUCAAGCCUUGGAUGGAUUUUUUUUGUCUGUCCUUGGGCUUGGUUGUUGGGCUCUGCCGUGUCCUUCAUUGGGACGGCUGGCCUUAAAAGCAUUAGCCGAUCCUCGUGUGGUACUGGUUCUACUCAGCGUGAUAACAAUCUGAUCGUUGAGGACAUCUUCUGGAUGGCCAGUCAUCAUUUGGGUUGCUUCUAAACCGGUUUCGCAGAUUGCUCAAUCUGUGUGCCACUUUUCAGCUUUGACCUCGAAUCAGGUGGGACUACCCGCUGAACUUAAGCAUAUCAUAAGCGGAGGA
This 421-nucleotide unclassified non-coding RNA is filed under the name soil metagenome. Its description in RNAcentral is "partial contains 5.8S ribosomal RNA, internal transcribed spacer 2, and large subunit ribosomal RNA". The stretch from base 1 to 120 matches the Rfam family "5.8S ribosomal RNA", at positions 35 to 154 of the family's 154-position model. The record is from RNAcentral.